RNAcentral lists this ribosomal RNA (254 nucleotides) under uncultured bacterium. Its description in RNAcentral is "partial 16S ribosomal RNA". It matches the Rfam family "Bacterial small subunit ribosomal RNA", at positions 523 to 776 of the family's 1533-position model. The record is from RNAcentral.
AAACGUAGGAGGCAAGCGUUAUCCGGAGUUACUGGGCGUAAAGCGCGUGUAGGUGGAUCGGUAAGUUACUUAUAAAAGCCCCUGGCUAAACUAGGGGAGGUUGAGGGAUACUGCCAGUCUUGAAUGGAGGAGAGGUUGACGGAAUUCCGCGUGUAGUGGUGAAAUGCGUAGAGAUGCGGAAGAACACCAGUGGCGAAGGCGGUCAACUGGCCUCAUAUUGACACUCAGACGCGAAGGCAUGGGUAGCGAACGGG